This 393-nucleotide ribosomal RNA is filed under the name uncultured bacterium. Its description in RNAcentral is "partial 16S ribosomal RNA". It matches the Rfam family "Bacterial small subunit ribosomal RNA", at positions 523 to 918 of the family's 1533-position model. The record is from RNAcentral.
AUACGGAGGAUCCGAGCGUUAUCCGGAUUUAUUGGGUUUAAAGGGUGCGCAGGCGGGAGAUUAAGUCGGCGGUGAAAUUUUGCAGCUCAACUGUAAAAGUGCCUUCGAAACUGGUUUCCUUGAGUGUAGAUGAAGUAGGCGGAAUUUGUGGUGUAGCGGUGAAAUGCAUAGAUAUCACGAGGAACUCCGAUUGCGCAGGCAGCUUACUAAACUACUACUGACGCUCAGGCACGAAGGCGUGGGGAUCAAACAGGAUUAGAUACCCAGGUAGUCCACGCAGUAAACGAUGAUUACUAGCUGUUUGCGAUACAAUGUAAGCGGCUGAGCGAAAGCGUUAAGUAAUCCACCUGGGGAGUACGUUCGCAAGAAUGAAACUCAAAUGAAUUGACGGGG